Non-coding RNA from Salmo salar (Atlantic salmon), 2029 nucleotides. The record is from RefSeq and is a predicted model, not a curated record. Lineage: Eukaryota; Metazoa; Chordata; Actinopteri; Salmoniformes; Salmonidae.
AUUCUGCAGUCUGCUAUAACGCUCAGGACCCAUCAGUUCUACAAAGUCCUCCGUGGAACAAAGGAGUAAUUACAACUAUCACAGGAACGCCAAAAACCUGAUAAGAAUACUGUAUAAUGUUUUCUGAUCAAUAUGACACCACAAACAUUUCAAAUAUUAGAACUACAUAUUCUGCCAAUUAAAAAAAACUGGUCUACGUUUUCUAAGCGGGAGUUGUUUGUCGAAGUUCUUUCCUGUGAAAAACUGAAAGUAAAUUCGACAACUUUUUUCUUUCUGUGGCUUCACCAAGGUUUUUCGACUUGCAAGACAGCAGCAGAAAUGAUUGAUAUGGGACUAGACCAGUCCUCUUCAGGAUUGUGAGGUCUCCUCUCUGAGAGUUAGAAUGAGUUAUCAUCAGGGGCUGAGGGUGGAGCCAUCCAUAAAGAAAGACAGAAGGAUGGGUCACCUAACAAGAUUCUUGAUGAGACCAUGGACCCUGAUAUGAGUGUCCAUGUGCAAAAAAUAGACUUUCCUACACCCAGCUGUGAGUCCACUAGAACACUCGAGAGUGAAGGAGAACUAAGGGUCCAUCUGGAGAGACCAGUGUCACCAACCCCCAGUGAUCUAUCAAUGAAAAGUGACAAAUCAAUGCGUAACCCUCCUGUAUUCAAGGAGGAAGACUUGACUCAGAAAGAGGGGAACAAUUUGAAGCAUCUCCAGCUACGUGCAGCUAGUCAUUGUGACCAGUCAGUGAAUUCAAGCAAAUACCCAAGUGAUGAUGGAGACCAAACCAGGGAUGGAAGCAUCAUCAGGCCAGAAGAGAUGGUCUGUGAGGUCAAAGCUGUGAAGUUCUGUCUGACCUGCACUCAGUCCUACUGUGGGACCCACGUUAAGAAGCACUACACAGUACCUAAACUACAGAGACACACCCUGGUGGAGGUGACUGGAGACCUGGAGGAGAGACUCUGUCAGGAACACCACAGAGCUCUGGAGGUGUUCUGCAGGACAGACCAGAAGCUGAUCUGCAGUCUGUGUGUAGUAACAGAACAUGAAGGACAUGAUAUAGUCUAUGAUGAGAUAAAACAAGCUGGAAGACAGUGCUCCCCCUUCCUGGUGAGAUCCAGUUCUGGUCAGUGACGUCAGACUCUGUGUCUCUGAGCUGGGGUUUUCCUGAGGGACUGACAGGAGCACAGAAGUUCAGAGUGACCUGGGGAUGUGACGGGGAACAGGGGAGCCUGAGGGUGGAAGAUGGGUAUAAUGUUGAAAUAGAUGGACUCCAGCCUGGUAAAAAGUACCAGUUCAGUGUGGCUACAGAGGGAGAAGAUGGCAGACAAAGAAGAUGGGUCUCAGCAUCUGUAUUAACUGUGGUCCCAGCACCCAGGGACUUACAAAUAAACCAGUCAGGGAGCGACCUCCUUCACUUUCAGUUGGUCCAAGGCUGAAGAAUUGGAGAAAGUCCCACAACGCUUUCUCAUAUCCUACUGCAACCCGGGAUCAGAGACCCGCUCAGCCAAUACUGAGGACUCCUACAGAACUCUCUCUGGCCUGCUACCUGGUACUCAGUACACCAUCAGUGUCUCAACUGUGUUGAACAAUGGGAAACAGAGCAAACCUCUCUCUACAACCGUCUGUACAAUUAUCCCUGUCCCGGUAGGGCUGAAUGUGGACCCAGUGGAGACCACAUCAGCUGUUGUUAGCUGGAACCAGCCACCAGGAUUGGACCAAACCCAACAUCAUUACCAGAUCUCCUACCGCUGUCCAGGGACAGAACCACACAUCACUACCACAUCUUCACACAGCAUCACUCUCUCUGACCUGCAUUGUGGUACUCAGUACUCUGUUACUGUCUGCACUGUGCUGGAAAAUGGAAAGCAAAGUCAACUGUCAACAACAACUCUGACCACAAUACUUCCUGCUCCAGACCAGCUGACUGUUGACUCAGUGGACACCACAUCAGCUGCUGUUAGCUGGAGCCAGCCACCAGAAUUGGAUCAAACCCAACAUCAUUACCAGAUCUCCUACCGCUGUCCAGGGACAGAACCACACAUCA